Molecule: ribosomal RNA, 212 nt
Filed under: uncultured bacterium
Lineage: Bacteria
Description: partial 16S ribosomal RNA
Rfam family: Bacterial small subunit ribosomal RNA
Source: RNAcentral
GUCAGAUGUGAAAGACCCGGGGCGUCAACCUCGGAAUAGCAUUUGAAACUAGGCAGACUAGAGUACUGUAGAGGGGGGUAGGAAUUUCAGGUGUAGCGGUGAAAUGCGUAGAGAUCUGAAGGAAUACCGGUGGCGAAGGCGGCCCCCUCGGACAGAUACUGACACUCAGAUGCGAAAGCGUGGGGAGCAAACAGGAUUAGAUACCCUGGUAG